Molecule: ribosomal RNA, 724 nt
Filed under: uncultured bacterium
Lineage: Bacteria
Description: bacterial SSU rRNA
Rfam family: Bacterial small subunit ribosomal RNA
Source: RNAcentral
AGAGUUUGAUCCUGGCUGAGAGUGAACGCUGGCGGCGUGCUUAACACAUGCAAGUCGAACGAGAACGGGUAUUAGCUUGCUAAUACUGUCAGCUAAGUGGCGCACGGGUGAGUAAUAUAUAGGUAACGUGCCUUCGAGAAGGGGAUAACAAUUGGAAACGAUUGCUAAUACCCUAUAUGCCUUUAAGUCCUAAGACUGCAAGGGAAAUAUUUAUAGCUCGAAGAUCGGCCUGUACAGUAUCAGUUAGUUGGUGAGGUAAUGGCUCACCAAGACAAUGACGCUUAACUGGUUUGAGAGGAUGAUCAGUCACACUGGAACUGAGACACGGUCCAGACUCCUACGGGAGGCAGCAGUGGGGAAUAUUGCACAAUGGAGGAAACUCUGAUGCAGCAACGCCGCGUGGAGGAUGACACAUUUCGGUGCGUAAACUCCUUUUAUAUAGGAAGAUAAUGACGGUACUAUAUGAAUAAGCACCGGCUAACUCCGUGCCAGCAGCCGCGGUAAUACGGAGGGUGCAAGCGUUACUCGGAAUCACUGGGCGUAAAGAGCGUGUAGGCGGAUAGUUAAGUUUGAAGUGAAAUCCUAUGGCUCAACCAUAGAACUGCUUUGAAAACUGAUUAUCUAGAAUAUGGGAGAGGUAGAUGGAAUUUCUGGUGUAGGGGUAAAAUCCGUAGAGAUCAGAAGGAAUACCGAUUGCGAAGGCGAUCUACUGGAACAUUAUUGA